This 240-nucleotide ribosomal RNA is filed under the name uncultured Geobacter sp. RNAcentral's name for it is "partial 16S ribosomal RNA". It matches the Rfam family "Bacterial small subunit ribosomal RNA", at positions 553 to 792 of the family's 1533-position model. The record is from RNAcentral. Lineage: Bacteria; Pseudomonadati; Thermodesulfobacteriota; Desulfuromonadia; Geobacterales; Geobacteraceae.
AUUGGGUGUAAAGCGCGUGUAGGCGGUCUUUUAAGUCUGAUGUGAAAGCCCCGGGCUCAACCUGGGAAGUGCAUUGGAAACUGGGAGGCUUGAGUACGGGAGAGGAGAGUGGAAUUCCUAGUGUAGGAGUGAAAUCCGUAGAUAUUAGGAGGAACACCGGUGGCGAAGGCGGCUCUCUGGACCGAUACUGACGCUGAGACGCGAAAGCGUGGGUAGCAAACAGGAUUAGAUACCCCAGUA